AGGAUUAGAUACCCUGAUAGUCCACGCCGUAAACGAUGUCUACUAGCCGUUGGGACUCUUGAAGUCUUAGUGGCGCAGCUAACGCACUAAGUAGACCGCCUGGGGAGUACGGCCGCAAGGUUAAAACUCAAAUGAAUUGACGGGGGCCCGCACAAGCGGUGGAGCAUGUGGUUUAAUUCGACGCAACGCGAAGAACCUUACCUGGCCUUGACAUGCAGAGAACUUUCCAGAGAUGGAUUGGUG
RNAcentral lists this ribosomal RNA (243 nucleotides) under uncultured bacterium. RNAcentral describes it as "partial 16S ribosomal RNA". It matches the Rfam family "Bacterial small subunit ribosomal RNA", at positions 774 to 1016 of the family's 1533-position model. The record is from RNAcentral.